Molecule: ribosomal RNA, 492 nt
Filed under: uncultured bacterium
Lineage: Bacteria
Description: partial 16S ribosomal RNA
Rfam family: Bacterial small subunit ribosomal RNA
Source: RNAcentral
AGUGAACGCUGGCGGUAGGCCUAACACAUGCAAGUCGAACGGCAGCACAGUAAGAGCUUGCUCUUACGGGUGGCGAGUGGCGGACGGGUGAGGAAUACAUCGGAAUCUACUUUUUCGUGGGGGAUAACGUAGGGAAACUUACGCUAAUACCGCAUACGACCUACGGGUGAAAGCAGGGGAUCUUCGGACCUUGCGCGAUUGAAUGAGCCGAUGUCGGAUUAGCUAGUUGGCGGGGUAAAGGCCCACCAAGGCGACGAUCCGUAGCUGGUCUGAGAGGAUGAUCAGCCACACUGGAACUGAGACACGGUCCAGACUCCUACGGGAGGCAGCAGUGGGGAAUAGUAGACAAUGGGCGCAAGCCUGAUCCAGCCAUACCGCGUGGGUGAAGAAGGCCUUCGGGUUGUAAAGCCCUUUUGUUGGGAAAGAAAAGCAGCAGGUUAAUACCCCGCUGUUCUGACGGUACCCAAAGAAUAAGCACCGGCUAACUUCGUG